UACGGAGGGAGCUAGCGUUGUUCGGAGUUACUGGGCGUAAAGGGUGUGUAGGCGGUUGUUUAAGUUUGGUGUGAAAUCUCCCGGCUCAACUGGGAGGGUGCGCCGAAUACUGAAUGACUUGGAGUGCGGGAGAGGUGAGUGGAAUUCCUGGUGUAGCGGUGAAAUGCGUAGAUAUCAGGAGGAACACCGGUGGUGUAGACGGCUCACUGGACCGUAACUGACGCUGAGACACGAAAGCGUGGGUAGCAAACAGG
This 254-nucleotide ribosomal RNA is filed under the name uncultured bacterium. RNAcentral describes it as "partial 16S ribosomal RNA". It matches the Rfam family "Bacterial small subunit ribosomal RNA", at positions 524 to 776 of the family's 1533-position model. The record is from RNAcentral.